Molecule: ribosomal RNA, 754 nt
Filed under: uncultured Glomeromycotina
Lineage: Eukaryota; Fungi; Glomeromycota
Description: SSU rRNA
Rfam family: Eukaryotic small subunit ribosomal RNA
Source: RNAcentral
GAGGCCUACCAUGGUGGUAACGGGUAACGGGGUGUUAGGGCACGACACCGGAGAGGGAGCCUGAGAAACGGCUACCACAUCCAAGGAAUGGCAGCAGGCGCGCAAAUUACCCAAUCCCGACACGGGGAGGUAGUGACAAUAAAUAACAAUACGGGGUUCUUUMGGAUCUCGUAAUUGGAAUGAGUACAAUUUAAAUCUCUUAACGAGGAACAAUUGGAGGGCAAGUCUGGUGCCAGCAGCCGCGGUAAUUCCAGCUCCAAUAGCGUAUAUUAAAGUUGUUGCAGUUAAAAAGCUCGUAGUUGAAUUUCGGGAUCRAWUUGUUGGUCGUGCYUCGGUACGYACUGGCAUUAUUGGUUYCUACCUUCUGAAGAACCDYGAUGUCAUUAAUUUGGUGUCRUGGGGAAAUCAGGACUGUUACUUUGAAAAAAUUAGAGUGUUUAAAGCAGGCWYACGCUUGAAUACAUUAGCAUGGAAUAAUGAAAUAGGACGUUUGAUUCUAUUUUGUUGGUUUCUAGGAUCGACGUAAUGAUUAAUAGGGAUAGUUGGGGGCAUUAGUAUUCAAUUGUCAGAGGUGAAAUUCUUGGAUUUAUUGAAGACUAACUACUGCGAAAGCAUUUGCCAAGGAUGUUUUCAUUAAUCAAGAACGAAAGUUAGGGGAUCGAAGACGAUCAGAUACCGUCGUAGUCUUAACCAUAAACUAUGCCGACUAGGGAUCGGAUGAUGUUAAUUUUUUAAUGACUCAUUCGGCGCCUUA